RNAcentral lists this ribosomal RNA (439 nucleotides) under uncultured bacterium. RNAcentral describes it as "bacterial SSU rRNA". It matches the Rfam family "Bacterial small subunit ribosomal RNA", at positions 47 to 475 of the family's 1533-position model. The record is from RNAcentral.
CCUAACACAUGCAAGUCGAACGGUAACAGGAAACAGCUUGCUGUUUCGCUGACGAGUGGCGGACGGGUGAGUAAUGUCUGGGAAACUGCCUGAUGGAGGGGGAUAACUACUGGAAACGGUAGCUAAUACCGCAUAACGUCGCAAGACCAAAGAGGGGGACCCUCGGGCCUCUUGCCAUCGGAUGUGCCCAGAUGGGAUUAGCUUGUUGGUGGGGUAACGGCUCACCAAGGCGACGAUCCCUAGCUGGUCUGAGAGGAUGACCAGCCACACUGGAACUGAGACACGGUCCAGACUCCUACGGGAGGCAGCAGUGGGGAAUAUUGCACAAUGGGCGCAAGCCUGAUGCAGCCAUGCCGCGUGUAUGAAGAAGGCCUUCGGGUUGUAAAGUACUUUCAGCGGGGAGGAAGGGAGUAAAGUUAAUACCUUUGCUCAUUGACGU